This 253-nucleotide ribosomal RNA is filed under the name uncultured bacterium. RNAcentral's name for it is "partial 16S ribosomal RNA". It matches the Rfam family "Bacterial small subunit ribosomal RNA", at positions 524 to 776 of the family's 1533-position model. The record is from RNAcentral.
UACGUAGGAACCGAGCGUUGUCCGGAUUUAUUGGGCGUAAAGAGCUCGUAGGCGGCCCUUCGCGUCGGAUGUGAAAGCUCAGGGCUCAACCCUGAGAGGCCAUUCGAUACGGGAGGGCUAGAGGUAGGUAGGGGAAAGUGGAAUUCCUGGUGUAGCGGUGAAAUGCGCAGAUAUCAGGAGGAACACCGGUGGCGAAGGCGGCUUUCUGGGCCUUACCUGACGCUGAGGAGCGAAAGCUGGGGGAGCGAACAGG